GAUGGAAACGGAGCGGGACGUGCAAGCGCAUAAACCAGCUUUACUGCAAGACCUACAAGUCGAGCAGUCGCGAAAGCGGAAGCUAGUGAUCCGACGACUCCUCAUAGGAGGGUCGAAGCUCAUCGGACAAAAGCUACUCCGG
RNAcentral lists this ribosomal RNA (142 nucleotides) under Candidatus Woesebacteria bacterium GWB1_37_5. Its description in RNAcentral is "partial 23S ribosomal RNA". It matches the Rfam family "Bacterial large subunit ribosomal RNA", at positions 2330 to 2471 of the family's 2925-position model. The record is from RNAcentral. Lineage: Bacteria; Candidatus Woeseibacteriota.